RNAcentral lists this long non-coding RNA (615 nucleotides) under Brassica napus (rape). RNAcentral describes it as "long non-coding RNA (BNAP_LNC005448)". Lineage: Eukaryota; Viridiplantae; Streptophyta; Magnoliopsida; Brassicales; Brassicaceae. The record is from RNAcentral.
GAACGUCCUAAACAGACAUAGCCAUCUCACAAAGAUGACUCUCGUACAUUCGACACUAGGAUAAUAGCGCUAUAAAAGAAACCCAAAAUUUUGGUCCAGCACUUCCGGUUGGCUUAAAAAUUAUCUCCGGAGAGAUGCUUGAUUCAUAUCUAACAAGUCCGAGAACCUAUCACGGACUUUAAAUUGGUACGAAUCAGGUUAAAAUCACGACAGGUAAACGAUAGCCGGCUAGUCACCACAUAAAUCUUAAAACCGAAAGUAAACAUAGGUCUUGCCCUAAACCCAGCGCACUGGUCUCUUACAUCUCAAGGCAUGAUAUCCAAAAGAUACGAGAUCCCAAAACCAUGCCUCUAUGUUUAUAUUCGACAUCUUCAGAUAUCCCGCGAAGUCUAUAUCUCGCGGUAAAACUCUCGAAACGGAUCUCGAACAAAACAUUUCACAUCGAAGAAGGAUAUGAGACGACAACUCAUCACCCUUCUUCCACACCAUACGUAAACUUAUGAAAAAUGCAACUCGAUCAUCUUGUCAUAAGAAGAAAGCCGCAGAGCGGCAGGGAUUCAAAGCCACAUACGGCCAGUCCCGAAACAUGAAAUAAGACCAUUUAAGGCUGAAACA